UACAAGGUUGAUAGGCUGCGUGUGGAAGUGCAGUAAUGCAUGUAGCUUGGCAGUACUAAUAGGCCGAGGGCUUGACCAU
Molecule: ribosomal RNA, 79 nt
Filed under: Anaeromassilibacillus sp. An200
Lineage: Bacteria; Bacillati; Bacillota; Clostridia; Eubacteriales; Acutalibacteraceae
Description: Bacterial large subunit ribosomal RNA
Rfam family: Bacterial large subunit ribosomal RNA
Source: Rfam by way of RNAcentral